UUGUACAGGAUAGGUAGGAGCCUUUGAAACGUGAGCGCUAGCUUACGUGGAGGCGUUGGUGGGAUACUACCCUAGCUGUGUUGGCUUUCUAACCCGCACCACUUAUCGUGGUGGGAGACAGUGUCAGGCGGGCAGUUUGACUGGGGCGGUCGCCUCCUAAAAGGUAACGGAGGCGCUCAAAGGUUCCCUCAGAAUGGUUGGAAAUCAUUCAUAGAGU
Molecule: ribosomal RNA, 217 nt
Filed under: Salmonella enterica subsp. enterica serovar Typhimurium
Lineage: Bacteria; Pseudomonadati; Pseudomonadota; Gammaproteobacteria; Enterobacterales; Enterobacteriaceae
Description: partial 23S ribosomal RNA
Rfam family: Bacterial large subunit ribosomal RNA
Source: RNAcentral